GGGCAGAGGAUGUGAAACAUUUAGACCGCUGCGGUCUUUCCGGUCUUUGAUGAUCUAAAAUUAAGCUUUUUAAAACUGAUGCUUA
Molecule: non-coding RNA, 85 nt
Organism: Triticum aestivum (bread wheat)
Lineage: Eukaryota; Viridiplantae; Streptophyta; Magnoliopsida; Poales; Poaceae
Source: Rfam